GCUGUAAAGGAGAGUAACAAGUACGUGAACUGCUUAGAGGUUAAACCCGAUGAACCUAAAUAUCCAGUAUGAGAAAGUCAUUAUUAUGAGUAUAUUAUUUUAUAAUGUAUUAAUAGUGUGCAUUUUUUUCAUAAAAAGGACAUUGUAAUCUGUUAAUACAAUUUAUAUAUUCUUUUAUAUAUUAUUUUUAUCAUAAAGAGUCAUGUAUAAGUUUACAUAUAAAUUAAUUAAUUUAUUAAUUAAUUGAUGUAAGAUCGAUGAAUUUCUAGAUAAAUAGUUAACAGUAUUAAAAUAUAUAAUGCUUACAUAAUUUUUUAUGUUUUAUAUAUAAUAUGUACAUGUACAUAUAUAUGUUUUUGCAUUUAUAUUAUAACAAUGCUAUAGAUUAGGAUCCUGCACGCGUC
RNAcentral lists this ribosomal RNA (404 nucleotides) under Phlaeobida angustipennis. RNAcentral describes it as "eukaryotic LSU rRNA". The record is from RNAcentral. Lineage: Eukaryota; Metazoa; Arthropoda; Insecta; Orthoptera; Acrididae.